GGAAUAUUGGACAAUGGGCGCAAGCCUGAUCCAGCCAUGCCGCGUGUGUGAAGAAGGCCUUAGGGUUGUAAAGCACUUUCAGCGAGGAGGAAGGGGGUUGUGUUACUAGCGCAGCCUUUUGACGUUACUCGCAGAAGAAGAACCGGCUAACUCCGUGCCAGCAGCCGCGGUAAUACGGAGGGUGCAAGCGUUAAUCGGAAUUACUGGGCGUAAAGCGCACGUAGGCGGUAUGUUAAGUUGGAUGUGAAAGCCCCGGGCUCAACCUGGGGAUUGCAUUCAAAACUGGCAUGCUAGAGUAUGUGAGAGGGGGGUAGAAUUCCAAGUGUAGCGGUGAAAUGCGUAGAGAUUUGGAGGAAUACCAGUGGCGAAGGCGGCCCCCUGGCACAAUACUGACGCCGAGGUGCGAAAGCGUGGGGAGCAAAC
RNAcentral lists this ribosomal RNA (423 nucleotides) under uncultured bacterium. Its description in RNAcentral is "bacterial SSU rRNA". It matches the Rfam family "Bacterial small subunit ribosomal RNA", at positions 358 to 773 of the family's 1533-position model. The record is from RNAcentral.